GAUCCUGGCUCAGAACGACGCUGGCGGCAUGCCUAACACAUGCAAGUCGAACGAGACCUUCGGGUCUAGUGGCGCACGGGUGCGUAACGCGUGGGAACCUGCCUUUAGGUUCGGAAUAACAGUGAGAAAUUACUGCUAAUACCGCAUAAUGUCUACGGACCAAAGUGUGGGACCUUCGGGCCACAUGCUAUCGGAUGCGCCUACGUGGGAUUAGCUAGUUGGUGGGGUAAUGGCUCACCAAGGCGACGAUCCCUAGCUGGUUUGAGAGGAUGAUCAGCCACACUGGAACUGAGACACGGUCCAGACUCCUACGGGAGGCAGCAGUGGGGAAUUUUGGACAAUGGACGCAAGUCUGAUCCAGCCAUUCCGCGUGCAGGACGAAGGCCUUCGGGUUGUAAACUGCUUUUGUACAGAACGAAAAGGUCUCUAUUAAUACUAGGGGCUCAUGACGGUACUGUAAGAAUAAGCACCGGCUAACUACGUG
Molecule: ribosomal RNA, 484 nt
Filed under: uncultured bacterium
Lineage: Bacteria
Description: bacterial SSU rRNA
Rfam family: Bacterial small subunit ribosomal RNA
Source: RNAcentral